Molecule: small nuclear RNA, 131 nt
Organism: Pygocentrus nattereri (red-bellied piranha)
Lineage: Eukaryota; Metazoa; Chordata; Actinopteri; Characiformes; Serrasalmidae
Gene: U2
Rfam family: U2 spliceosomal RNA
About the family: U2 is a small nuclear RNA (snRNA) component of the spliceosome (involved in pre-mRNA splicing). Complementary binding between U2 snRNA (in an area lying towards the 5' end but 3' to hairpin I) and the branchpoint sequence (BPS) of the intron results the bulging out of an unpaired adenosine, on the BPS, which initiates a nucleophilic attack at the intronic 5' splice site, thus starting the first of two transesterification reactions that mediate splicing.
Source: Ensembl
CUAUCUAAUACGUCCUCUAUAUUACACUGAUUUUUAGAACAGGGAGAUGGAAGAGGGGCUUGCUCCAUCUGCUCCGUCCACUCCAUGCAUCGACCUGGUAUUGCAGUACCUCCGGGAAUGGCGUACCUCAG